CCUUGGGAGCUUCAAGAGUCCAACAACGCCCCGUGAGGUCUGCUGGUCUCCUCCUCUCCACCGAUAAAGCGAGAACAUGACAGACAGACAGGCUAACGAACAAACAGGAGAUGGGCGCGUCCUCUUCCGCCGACCACGGAGGCAUCUCGGAGCAACAGCAACGGCAGGAAGAGGAGGAAAACUUAGCUGCCGCCAAUGGCUUCCUCCCCUCCCUUCGCAAUGCCUUCUCCAACCUCUCUCCGCCCUCCUCCUCUUCCGUCCCCCUCGCUUCCCUCCAUGUACUGCUGCUGCCUACCGAUCCACAACCCAUGUGACAACUGACCCUCGAUUCUCCCCUCUUCCCUGGACGUGCAAGUUGUUGUGUCCGAAUCCUCGCCGGUGCCGUAGCACUUCCCUGCCCUGUCGAACAAUCUCGGCGCAACCCUGGUCUCGCUCUUCUUCCCCGUUGCCGAUGAUCGUGCUGACGGUCGUAUUGAUUGGAUUGGCUUCUUGAGCGGCUACAAGCGAUGCUACGGCAGGAUGCCCGUCUCACGAUCCAUCAACGAGCUAUACAGAUUGUACGCCGCCCUGUCCCGGGAAGCCGGAGCGCCUUGCGGCUUGGAGUUCGAUCCCGAUGCUGGCGACGAUGAUAAGGUGGGCGGGUCUCUCUUGCCGGGAGAGGUGCUCAUGCUUUUCUGGAUCUGCUGGGUCAUGGGGCAUUCUUCGAGGAUCGCGAAGAUGUCCAGAAACGCAGAGGAUCCUUUGGUGCUCCCUGACAUGAGCCAUUUGGAGAUGAGCACAUUUGGAAGAUGAGCACAUUUGGAGAUCGGAUGUUUUGGCGGUCGAUAAGGGUGUUUCUGCGCAGAAGUUUCAGACGUGGGUCUUGACGACAGCACCAGGCUCGGCGAAUUGUCUUCCGAAGUAUGUCCAGGAUAGGAUCCAAGCUUGCUCUUCUUCGAAGCAACUUUGUGAGUGUCAAUUAGGCACAGGCACUGAUGUAGCAUAAGGGCAUUCCUCCAAAGAGAUUUGUUGAGAACUAUUCACAAGAACUUAAGAAAAAGAAAUUUGCAUGCAUUAAGCUAAUGUCAGGAAUUUGGUUAUGGAAGUGUUAGGGUCUACAAGGGAUAACACUGAUACUGAGUUGAAUUCAUUUGCGAAGAGGAUUUAGGAGACCAGGAGGCAAAAUCAUUGACUGACAACUUGAAAGAAUGCACAAUCAGAACUAUAUAUUAUUUUUCACAAUCUAGUGUAAGUGUUAGUACAUUGUUGGAUGGAAGAAUUGCUUCAAUUGUCAGGUUGCUGUUAAAUAAGCAGUUGCGAAAAUAACUUGUUCCAGCUGUUGAUGCUACCGCUAGUGGGUACAGUGGCAUCUGCAGCAGGUCCCCUGCCUGGCUGCCCAACGUGAUGCGGCGAGAUUGACGUCCCCUACCCUUUUGGUAUAUGUCCUAACUCUUUGAGGGAAGGCUUCUCACUAAAUUGCAGCGCAACGGAUGAUGGCCUCGAGAAACUUUUUGUGUUCAACGUCGAGAUCACCGAUAUCUCAUUGCCACUAGGCCAGACACACAUGCUCAAUGAAAUAUAGUCGCAGUGUUGCAACGUAAGCAACAAUUCUAUGGACUACAACUUCUGCUCUCUGAAUUUGGUUGACACACCAAAUAGAUUCUCCGAUGUCCACAACAAGUUCACUGUAAUCGGCUGCGAGACCCUCGUCUGGAUCGGAUAUCUUCAAAGGGCCAGAGCGGUUGUGUGUCCGUGUGUCACAACGAGGUGAGUUUGGUCAACAGCUCAUGCUCCGGCAUCGGCUGCUGCCAAACGUCCAUCCCCAAGGUCCUCGCAUACUAUGAGGUCUGGUUUGAUUCAAAUUUCAGCAGCUCGAGCAUCUGGAACUUCAGUUACUGCAGCUAUGCCGUAUUGUUGGAGGCCAAUCGGUUUGAAUUCCUAACAUUUACAUCACAACGGACCGAUUCUUGAACGACAGCAGCAGCAAGGCGCCUUUGGUGGUGGAUUGGGCGAUCGGAAACGAGAUAGCAAAGUGCAACAGAACCUCCUACACCUGCAUCAGUGAGCACCGCGAGUGUUUGAAUUCUUCCAAUGGUCCUGGGUAUCGGUGUAACUGUUCGAGUGGCUACCAUGGCAAUCCUUAUGUCGCUCAUGGCUGCCAAGAGAUCGAUGAAUGCUCUGAUAAAUAUCAAUAUCCUUGCAAUGGCAUCUGCCAGAACCUGCCCGGUAGCUACAAUUGUUUCUGCCUGUGAGGAACUUAUGGUGAUGCUUUCAAUGGACCAUGCACUCAACAGCAGAACCUUCAAUCAUCAGCGAAGGUGGCUAUAGGUAAGAGUCUUUUUUCCACCAUGACUUUCGUCUUUGUCGAGGAUCUCCAAACACAUUUGAUGCCAAGUAUUACAAAUAAAUUCUUUUGUUCCCUUUCUUUUCAUGAAUUUUAUUUAUUGCUUCAAAUCCUUUGACCUGUCUGCACUAUAGACUAGGUGUAUCUUACAGGGAGGACUAA
Musa acuminata AAA Group (dessert banana) is the source of this 2485-nucleotide long non-coding RNA. RefSeq lists it as uncharacterized. NCBI's taxonomy places the organism in Eukaryota, Viridiplantae, Streptophyta, Magnoliopsida, Zingiberales, Musaceae. The transcript has 3 exons. The record is from RefSeq and is a predicted model, not a curated record.